GGGAUGGAGAGUUUGAUCCUGGCUCAGGGGGAACGCUGGCGGCGUGCCUAAUGCAUGCAAGUCGGACGGGAGCGCGCGAUGAGCGCGCCGACCGUGGCGGACGGGUGCGUAACACG
Molecule: ribosomal RNA, 116 nt
Filed under: Thermomicrobium roseum
Lineage: Bacteria; Pseudomonadati; Thermomicrobiota; Thermomicrobia; Thermomicrobiales; Thermomicrobiaceae
Description: partial 16S ribosomal RNA
Rfam family: Bacterial small subunit ribosomal RNA
Source: RNAcentral